This 612-nucleotide long non-coding RNA is filed under the name Equus caballus (horse). RNAcentral's name for it is "lncRNA (ENSECAG00000058451.1)". Lineage: Eukaryota; Metazoa; Chordata; Mammalia; Perissodactyla; Equidae. The record is from RNAcentral.
UCCUUUGCCUCUGACACGGUACCUGGCAAUGUUCAGGACAGAGGCUAAUCUGUGAGCCUAGGACCAGAGUGCUGACGAGGUGCAGCAGGGCCACACUGGACCCAGGGCGUGGACAUGGAGAAACUCAUCAUUGGAACUCAUCUAAGCUUAUUUUGAUCAAAGGAAAGGCUGUAAAGGAUUAGAGGGGAAAAGUUGGACUUUCGUUCACACAUGAGUGCAAGGACAAGAUCUCCUGAGGAUCACUCUUCGUGGGGGGACUCAUGACUUCCCUAAAUACCAAGUUUCCAGUUCAGUUAGAACUUGGAAUUCCAACAGACUGAAGUAGAUGACCCAGUGACAUACUGAUAAGAUCCCUGCACACCCAUUCUAACCCAACUUUUGUGUGGUCGCAAAAUCCAAAAUGUCUCAUAGUGGAAAAUUAUCCUGGUGGAGUCAAUACAGGUCUUAACUUUGAGUGUUUAUGUUGCGAUUUCAGGUCCCACUAAACACUAUUGCACAGACCUAUUUUCUCAUUCCAUAGGAAAUGGGAAUUCAACAUGUUCAUGUUUCCUACAAUUCCUUCCAAACUCUUAGUUGGUAAUAUCCAUAAUUGUGCAUCCCAAACAAUAUCAC